AUGGCAGAGAUCAUCAAGUCUGCCAUCAUUGGGGAGACAGUUACCCAGAUUUUUUCUGGCAUAACCAACAGGAAAGACGAUGAUAAAUCAGAUGAAGCCAUCGGAGGAAGUGGCCUAGAGAGGCUGGAGAUGGCACACAUAAAAAUGGAGGCUGCACUCGAGAUGUCUGACAAGUGGCAGAUCACCGAUGUGUCACUAAUUCAUUGGCGUAAGAAGCUGAAGUGUGCUGCCCAGGAUUGCAACGACGCAGCUCGCAGAUGCUGGGAGCUCUCUCUGGAAGAAGAUGAGGCAGAGCAGGUGCUAAGCAAAUCUUCGUUUGCUACAAGGGUCGCUCAUGCGGCCAAGGCAUUUGUCUCCUCUUUCAUUGGCUGUGAAGGUGAUCAUUGCUCACGCAGCAUCGCCGCCGCCGUUCAAAGAUUCGAGAGGUUCGCUGAUGGUGCUACAGAGUUCAUUCAAUGUGUGCAGCUCGGUGGAACACCUCGACAGCCCUUCUUCGACCCUCUCAUCAGGCAUAUCUUCAAAGGCAAAACGCUGUGGUAUAUGGUGAUGCAUCCGGGAGGCCAGUAUCAAUACUUCGGCAUACGUCCUAUGGCCUUCGAGGAGCGUGGACUGGAGGCCAUGCUAUCCUUCAUAUAUGAAGAUUUCAAGGUGCCCAAGAACAGUUUUCGCCUUGGGUUCAUGCUGCGUCUUUCAGAGAGUAUAGACAUAUUCGGAACUACAGUCAAGUGCUCAAAGCGUCAAAUCUCUCUACUCGACUAUAAGAACCUACAGGGAUCAACUGCGGGAUAUGAUUUUUCUUCUCUGGAGAAUACCCCACUUCUGAAGCUGGGAAUUCUGUUCAUGCCUCAUGAUUCUCUGGAGAACCCCAAGUCCACCGGCGAGGGCUCUGCGAUAGAGGUGAUCGAUGGAGAGAAGCAACAUCUCACACAUGCAAAUGUUCAUCCUGACCAACUUGAUGAGAUAUUGCUGCCCAAGGCGAUAGAUUAUCUUCACCAUAACACCGAGACUGCGACCUAUCAGAUAGUAUGGAGGUCCAACCAUGGCAGUGCACACCUAUGUGUGGAGAAGACAAGCACAACAAGAAUUCCCAGAGCACACAGAGCCGCCAUACGACAAGGUAGGAACAAGAAUAGUAAGGCACUUCGUCGGAUGCGGCAGGAGCAGAUGAGGAAAGUGCAGUGGAUGCAGGUAGCCAAAGAUUUCCUGAAACUAUGGGUUGUGCGUUCCUCAGAGAGGUUGCAGAGCACAUUUACGUCAUGGCUCAAACAGUAG
RNAcentral lists this ribosomal RNA (1272 nucleotides) under Triticum aestivum (bread wheat). RNAcentral's name for it is "partial small subunit ribosomal RNA". The record is from RNAcentral. Lineage: Eukaryota; Viridiplantae; Streptophyta; Magnoliopsida; Poales; Poaceae.